UACGAAGGGGGCUAGCGUUGUUCGGAUUUACUGGGCGUAAAGGGCACGUAGGCGGCCAGCACAAGUCAGUUGUGAAAUCUCCGAGCUUAACUCGGAAAGGUCAACUGAUACUGUGCGGCUAGAGUGCAGAAGGGGCAACUGGAAUUCUUGGUGUAGCGGUGAAAUGCGUAGAUAUCAAGAGGAACACCUGCGGUGAAGGCGGGUUGCUGGGCUGACACUGACGCUGAGGCGCGAAAGCUAGGGUAGCAAAUGGG
RNAcentral lists this ribosomal RNA (254 nucleotides) under uncultured bacterium. RNAcentral's name for it is "partial 16S ribosomal RNA". It matches the Rfam family "Bacterial small subunit ribosomal RNA", at positions 524 to 776 of the family's 1533-position model. The record is from RNAcentral.